UCUGGGUUAGCUCAGUUGGUUAAAGUAUGAGAUUCUUAAUCUCAGGGUUCUGGGUUCAAGCCCCACACUCGAAC
Podarcis lilfordi (Lilford's wall lizard) is the source of this 74-nucleotide non-coding RNA. The record is from the annotation of a GenBank genome assembly. NCBI's taxonomy places the organism in Eukaryota, Metazoa, Chordata, Lepidosauria, Squamata, Lacertidae.